Long non-coding RNA from Anguilla anguilla (European eel), 1240 nucleotides. RefSeq lists it as uncharacterized. The record is from RefSeq and is a predicted model, not a curated record. The transcript has 2 exons. NCBI's taxonomy places the organism in Eukaryota, Metazoa, Chordata, Actinopteri, Anguilliformes, Anguillidae.
UCCAAAUUUAAUGAUGACAUAUUUAAAAAUGCAUAUAAAGCGUAUAGGCCUGGGCUAUAACUAUUAUAUAUUUAGUAGGCUCUGUUACUGCGUGUGAUAUUCCCUCAGCUCGGCUCAGCUCAGGGCAUGCAGCUUCCCGAAAUGACCCACGUGUCCUCCCUGCAGUCAGCAAAUUCGCAGGCUUCUAAAUCGUGAUGCAGAAAAUAAGAGUCGUGUUGGAGUCGCCGGGUGCAUUUGUGUCGGUGCUGAAAAAUAUCUCACUGUGGCUAAAAUCACACACCUGCGUGUCCUUAUGAAGUUGAGGGGGAAGCGGAAGGCGUGCCUUAAACUGAUGGUGAAUGAUCCCCAAACACACACGGAGAGGUUUUGCCCGUCGUUGUGACCCCUGCCUCGGCACAAUGCUCCUUUGUCAUGUGAGUCGCGGCCCUCUUCCGCUCACAGACCUCGCCGGCCUCCUCUCCUUGCGCGCCCCGCCGCGCCAGGGUGCGCCGAUCGUCUGGCGAACGGAUUUCAGGGGAAAUGCAGAACGCCGGCUAACAAUACGGCAGCGAGCAAGUGACCUAACUGGACUGAAGACAAUGGACAAAAGUGAUACGGGAGUAUGGCCUUUGCGGUCGCACAAAUGGACACGUAAAAUAGCUAUUGUGCUGCAUCAUAUCUCCUCCUGGUUUAUUUAAUUAUAUUUUGUGCUAUUGUUGUCUGGGAAAAGGCACUGGCUAUACUUACAAUGGUCUGGAUUUAAAACGUGCUAACGGACACACAAUAAAGAAUGCGAGGUAUGAAACAUCCUUCAGUGUGGGUGUUAUUCCGGUUCAAGUGCAAUUAGUGGCCACUGGGCCCUUUAACCCUAAUUACAAAAGCAAAUCGAUGUGUGAGCUGGCGCACACCUACAGCAUCUAUUGAUCGCAGCCUUUUAUCACUGAGUGUCCUUUUGUGUGCCUAUUGAAGUCCCUUUUCCUGGGAACCUGCACUGAUGUCCAAGUAUUUGAGUAUCAACACAAGUCCCUCUCACUGAUAUCUAGCUCUAUCUGUAUAUGCAUGCAUUUACUGGAAGACUUAUGCAGAUUGCAUAAACAACUCAUGUAUUUCACUCAGAAAUGUGCAUGCUUAUAAACCGGAUAACAUCUACAAUAUUUUCCCCCUUGUUCAUAUUGAAAAUGGCUUUCCAGAUGCAACAGGAAUGUAAAGCUGUCUUAAUUUCUUUAUCUUUUACAUAUUUGUGCAUAAAUUAUUAAAUUAA